AUACGGAGGAUCCGAGCGUUAUCCGGAUUUAUUGGGUUUAAAGGGUGCGCAGGCGGCCAUUUAAGUCAGCGGUUAAAUCGUGGGGCUCAACCCCAUUCUGCCGUUGAUACUGGGUGGCUUGAUUGCGGUCGAGGUUGGCGGAAUUCGUUGUGUAGCGGUGAAAUGCAUAGAUAUGACGAAGAACACCGAUUGCGUAGGCAGCCGUCCAGACCGCAAAUGACGCUCAUGCACGAAAGUGCGGGGAUCGAACAGGAUUAGAUACCCUGGUAGUCCGCACAGUAAACGAUGAAUACUUGUUUUCGGCGAUAUAAUGUCGGAGGCAAAGCGAAAGCGAUAAGUAUUCCACCUGGGGAGUACGCCGGCAACGGUGAAACUCAAAGGAAUUGACGGGG
This 392-nucleotide ribosomal RNA is filed under the name uncultured bacterium. RNAcentral's name for it is "partial 16S ribosomal RNA". It matches the Rfam family "Bacterial small subunit ribosomal RNA", at positions 523 to 918 of the family's 1533-position model. The record is from RNAcentral.